GGUUCGAAUGAUUUUUGAAAUUGUUGAUUUAUCACAAGCAUCACCCGCUACAGUUAGCAGAUGUGGAAUUGUUUAUAUGGACACAUUGGACCUAGGAUGGUUACCAUACGUAAACUCGUGGGCAAAUAGAUUACAAAAUGAUGUUAUAAAAAGUAGUGCAGAAUUAAAAAACUAUUUAGUAUUACUAUUUGAAACUUAUGUCAAUGAAGGUUUUUCAUUUAUUGACAAAUAUUGUUCGGCUCCCAUUGAACAGGUUGACAUUAGUAAAGCUACUACGAUGUGCACCAUUAUCGAAUCUCUAUUAACUGACCUAGGUAGUUUUGAUGCGUCAACAGAAAUUUCAAAAGCCCAAAAAUAUAUUCAUCAGUCAUUUAUAUUUUCAUAUUUAUGGUCUCUGGGAUCGAAUUUAGCCGAUUCUUCUCAAAUAAAAUUCGAAAAUUUCGUUUUCAAUCAAUUCGCAGACAAAUCUGAAUAUGGUAUUCUACCUGGAAUGAAACUAUUCAACGUAUAUCUAAACACGGAAAAUAAAAAGUUUGAAAAUUGGAAUACCAUCGUCCCAGAUUUUGUGUACGAGUCCGGUACACCUUAUCACGAAUUACUAGUUCCUACAGUAGAUAGCAUUCGGCAUACAUACGUUGUACAAACGAUACUACAAAUGAAUCAACCAGUGAUGUUGACUGGAACAACAGGUGUGUAAAAAUAAUUAAACAUGAGUAAAACCAUCUUUAAUACCAUAAUCUUACAAUAAUCAUAGGUGUAGGUAAGAAUUCGGUAGCAAAUUUCGUCAUGCAAUACUUGACGUCUAAGGGAGACUGGAUAACUGGAACAAUACAUUUUUCUGCGUACACAAAUAGUAACAGAACCCAAGAAUUAUUGGAAUCAAAAUUAGUGAAAAAAAAACGAAAUCGUUUCGGUGCACCGGUAAACAAACGUUUGGCGCUUUUCAUCGAUGACGUCAACAUGCCGAUACCAGAAAUUUACGGUGCUCAACCUCCCAUUGAAUUACUAAGACAGCUUUUGGAUUCUGGUGGCAUAUAUGAUAGAGAUAAGCUCGAUUGGAAAGACAUAGAGAAUGUAAUUUUGUGCACCAUCUGCGCACCUCCAGGAGGAGGACGAAAUCUAUUAACUCCAAGAUUUACAAGACACUUAUCAGUGAUUUUCAUGCCCAUUAUGAGUGAAAAUUCCCUGAGAACUAUAUUCACCUCUAUUUUGGACGGGUUUUUUGAAGAGUUCCCUCCAAAUAUAGCUGAUUCUAGUUCAGAAAUAGUGCAAGCCAGUGUUGAAAUUUAUUUGCGAAUUUCAGAAGACCUGUUACCGAGUCCGGCCAAGCCACACUAUGUUUUUAAUCUUAGAGAUUUGUCGAAAACCAUACAAGGAGUCUUGCAAGCUAAUUUUAUCACAAUACCAGAUAAAACACAUUUAUACAGGCUAUGGUAUCAUGAAACAUUACGUGUGUAUCACGACCGUUUGGUUUGCCAAAAAGACAGAUCAUAUUUCUUUAAUCUUCUUCAGGACGUAUGUAUGCGUUAUUUCAACACUACUGUGUUGGACUUUUUCAAAUCUACAGACAAAAAUUCAUCACGUCCUCCAGUGUUAUUGUUUGGUGAUUUCGUGAAUCCAGUUUCAAAAGACAGACGGAUUUACGAAGAAAUAAUUGAUAUCGAUAAAUUAAAAGCCACAUUGGUCGAAAAUUUAACAGAUUUCAAUAAAGUUUAUAAUAAAAACAUGCACAUCAUAUUUUUCAUGGACGCCAUCGAGCAUAUCACACGCAUUGCGAGGAUAUUGAGAUCCGAAAGAGGAAACGCUUUACUCGUCGGAGUUAAUGGAAUGGGCAAACAAUCGUUGACAAAAUUGUCUUCCCACCUUAACAAUUUUAAAUGUUUUCAAAUCGAGUUAACAAAAUCAUAUAAUCAUACUACUUUUCGUGAAGACCUAGUGAGUCUUUAUCUCAACACCGGUGUGAAAUUUGAAGACACCACAUUUUUAUUCUCGGAUAAUCAGAUAGUGCAAGAAGAAUUUUUAGAAGAUAUAAACAAUAUUUUAAGCUCAGGGGAAGUACCAGAUUUAUUUAAACAUGAUGACUUGGAGAAGGCGAUAGCCGCUUGCCGGCCAGCAGCAUUGAGUUUGGGAGUCGACAGCCAGAACCAAGAAGCAAUGUUCAGGUUUUUCAUUCAGCGCGUACGCUCUAAACUCCAUCUUGUCGUAUCCAUGAGCUCGAUUGGCAAUGCGUUUAGACGAAGAUGCCGGCUGUUUCCUUCGUUAGUUUAUAACUCGACAAUAGAUUGGUUUGACGACUGGCCGACCGAAGCUCUUUUGUCUGUAGCUCACCAAAGUCUAGACGAGGCUUUUGGACGAUCAGAAAACCAAGACCUCGUAGACAGUCUAACGAAUAUGUGUCACAACAUGCACUUGACUAUCAGUCGAGCCACUGAAAAGUUUUGCAGACAAACGGCUAGGGGUUGCUACGUAACUCUCAGGAGUUAUUUGGAAUUUCUGAAGUUAUAUGUGACAAUGCGGGGAUCACAAACUGACAAGAUUAAAAACGAUUCUGAUCGAAUUUCGAAUGGCUUGCGCAAAUUAUACGAGACAUUUGACAUGGUGGGAGAUAUGAAAACAAAAUUAAAAUCAAUGGCACCGGCACUGUUAGAGAAAAAUGAAGCAACUUCAAAAUUAAUGGAAGGGUUGACGAGAGAAAAGGCAAGCGUAGAUAAGGUACGACAAAUAGUGCUUGUGGAAGAGAUAGCAGCGAAAAUGAAAGCUUCGGCCGCGCAGGAAAUAUCUGAAGACGCGCAAAGAGACCUUACUCUGGCUAUGCCGGCCAUGGAAGCGGCCCAAAGCCGCAUUAGAGUCACUCAACAAAAACGAUGUAAACGAGCUUCGGAUGUUGAGUAAACCACAUAAACUUGUUCAGACCGUUAUGGAAGCGGUGUGUUUAUUAUUGGCAAAAAAAACUGAUUGGACUUCCGCUAAAACCGUACUAGGAGAUCCCAAUUUUCUAAAAGCUCUACAAGAAUACGAUACGGACAAUAUAUCUGAUAAAAUGAUCAAUCAACUUAAGCCUUAUAUAGAAGAUCCAGAUUUCAAUCCACAGAAAGUAGCUACUCAAUCAAAAGUGGCCAAAUCGAUGUGCAUGUGGGUUCGAGCAGUUCACAGUUACUAUUUAGUAUAUCGAAUAGUAGAACCCAAAAGAAAGAAGUAAACAAUUUAAUUUUAAUUUAAUUUACCUAACACCCAAAAUAUAGUUAUCAUAAUGAUAAUCCGAACUAUCGUAUAAUAAUCACAAUAA
Molecule: unclassified non-coding RNA, 3286 nt
Filed under: Acyrthosiphon pisum (pea aphid)
Lineage: Eukaryota; Metazoa; Arthropoda; Insecta; Hemiptera; Aphididae
Description: dynein heavy chain 6, axonemal-like, transcript variant X1
Source: RNAcentral